This 467-nucleotide ribosomal RNA is filed under the name uncultured bacterium. RNAcentral's name for it is "partial 16S ribosomal RNA". It matches the Rfam family "Bacterial small subunit ribosomal RNA", at positions 28 to 507 of the family's 1533-position model. The record is from RNAcentral.
GACGAACGCUGGCGGCGUGCUUAACACAUGCAAGUCGAACGGAAAGGCCUCUUUCGGGGGGUACUCGAGUGGCGAACGGGUGAGUAACACGUGAGUAACCUGCCUUUGACUUUGGGAUAACUUCCGGAAACGGGGGCUAAUACCGGACAGAAGCUCUUGCGGCAUGGUGGGGGCUGGAGAGUUUCGGCGGUUGGGGAUGGAUUCGCGGCGUAUCAGCUUGUUGUUGGGGUAGUGGCUUACCAAGGCUUUGACGGGUAGCCGGCCUGAGAGGGUGACCGGCCACAGUGAGACUGAGAUACGGCCCAGACUCCGACGGGUGGGAGCAGUGGGGAAUAUUGCACAAUGGGUGGAAGCCGGAUGCAGAAACGCCGUGGGCGGGAGGACGGCGUUGGGGUUGGAAACCGCAUGCGCUCAUGACGAAGCUUUGUGUGACGGUAGUGGGUAAAGAAGCACCGGCUAACUACGUG